Molecule: long non-coding RNA, 568 nt
Organism: Bemisia tabaci
Lineage: Eukaryota; Metazoa; Arthropoda; Insecta; Hemiptera; Aleyrodidae
Source: RefSeq, a predicted model, not a curated record
GUCGAGUUCGCACAUAAGUUUACGCCGAGCAUGAGAAUGUAGAUCGACGAGCGAAAAUUCAAGUGGUUUCGUCAGGAAAUUUGGAGUUUGUUACUACAGCCAAUGACACAAAAAAAGGAGGAGUCAGGCUUGGGUGCAUCUGCGGGGGCAGGCUUGCAGAUGGCUUCGAAAGGAAUUCCAGCGUCUGUCACAGCCCACAAAUUCUCCAGAUAAUCAAGUAAAAUUUGCUUCGUCGGUCUGUCGAUAAAAAGAAAUAAUUGUCAAAUAGCAGUAAUGAAGGGAGGAGGGAGGUAUAGAUCACUGAAAAUGGAGAAUGAGUUACUUAACUACUCGAAAUCUACUCAAUGGAAAAAUUACGGUAACUUAAAUGAAAUGUGAUAACGUUCGGGGAUAACUGACUGUUAUGAUUAAAUUUGACCAAACCAUACUUCACUCUUCACAAAAAUUGGCUAAUUAUUUAUUAAAAAAAAAAAAAAAAAUUCAAAUUUUGGGUGCUUGUCUUGGCAAAUGAUGUUAAAUUCUUCGACGUAACUACUUAGUAAAAGGCGUUUGUAUAGUGACAGUGUAA